Molecule: ribosomal RNA, 502 nt
Filed under: uncultured bacterium
Lineage: Bacteria
Description: bacterial SSU rRNA
Rfam family: Bacterial small subunit ribosomal RNA
Source: RNAcentral
CUGGCGGCGUGCUUAACACAUGCAAGUCGAACGCGAAAGGGACUUCGGUCCUGAGUAAAGUGGCGCACGGGUGAGUAACGCGUAGAUAACCUGUCUUCAUGUCUGGAAUAAUACGCCGAAAGGGGUACUAAUACCGGAUAUUCUUGCUUUUCAUAAGUUAUGCAAGCAAAGGUGGCCUCUGCAUAUGCUACUGCAUGAAGAGGGGUCUGCGUACCAUUAGCUAGUAGGUGGGGUAAUGGCCUACCUAGGCGACGAUGGUUAGCGGGUCUGAGAGGAUGAUCCGCCACACUGGCACUGGAACACGGGCCAGGCUCCUACGGGAGGCAGCAGUGAGGAAUAUUGCGCAAUGGGGGAAACCCUGACGCAGCGACGCCGCGUGAGUGAGGAAGGCCUUCGGGUCGUAAAGCUCUGUCAAGAGGAAAGAAGUGUACAAUGGCUAAUACCUGUUGUAUUUGACGGUACCUCUAAAGGAAGCACCGGCUAACUCCGUGCCAGCAGCUGC